Molecule: non-coding RNA, 433 nt
Organism: Macaca mulatta (Rhesus monkey)
Lineage: Eukaryota; Metazoa; Chordata; Mammalia; Primates; Cercopithecidae
Source: RefSeq, a predicted model, not a curated record
AACACUUCAAGUAAGAGCAGGUCUCCUGAGGUCUGACCCAGUCCUGACAUAACCCUCAAUGCCUUAAGACGUCGAAAGUAACUGAGGGCCCAGGAGCUGAGAGGUUUCUAUACCGAGGACUGGGGACUUUGGGGUCCUGGAUAUUUACCCAAAUAAAUAAGGAAACAGUUUCUAAAACCUGCGCCAGUUCAGAUAGCUGGUGAGUUUCGGAGCUGGGAAGGGAAGCUCAGCAAUCCGGCCCCAGGCUCUGUGACAACUCCAAUUCUGAUGCUACCUAUGCUACCUAUUAAGAAGGACAGGUGUUCAACAACAAACAAAAUCACCAUGCUCAGUAAGCAAAUGAAGGAAAAGUCAAACAACAAAGAGAUGCCUUUUUCUGUUAGGAACUGACUCAUAUCACACAUACAAUAAAAAUAUCCAUAAUAUUCCCAGA